AAAAUUUUAGGUUAAUAAAACUAUAAACCUUCAAAGUUUAAAAUAUAAAUAAAUUUAUAGAUUUUA
RNAcentral lists this transfer RNA (66 nucleotides) under Nasonia giraulti. Its description in RNAcentral is "tRNA-Trp". The record is from RNAcentral. Lineage: Eukaryota; Metazoa; Arthropoda; Insecta; Hymenoptera; Pteromalidae.